This 163-nucleotide small nuclear RNA is filed under the name Chelydra serpentina (North American snapping turtle). RNAcentral's name for it is "U1 spliceosomal RNA (ENSCSRG00000012489.1)". It matches the Rfam family "U1 spliceosomal RNA". Rfam says of the family: U1 is a small nuclear RNA (snRNA) component of the spliceosome (involved in pre-mRNA splicing). Its 5' end forms complementary base pairs with the 5' splice junction, thus defining the 5' donor site of an intron. The record is from Rfam by way of RNAcentral. Lineage: Eukaryota; Metazoa; Chordata; Testudines; Chelydridae.
AUACUUACCGGGCAGGGGAGAUACCAUGAUCAGCAAGGUGGUUUUCCCAGCGUGAGGCUCAUCCAUUGCACUGCGGGUGUGCUGACCUCUGUGAUUUCCCCAAAUGUGGGAAACUCAACUGCAGAAUUGUGGUAGUGGGGGACUGCGUUCGCGCUUUCCCCUG